RNAcentral lists this ribosomal RNA (120 nucleotides) under Pteropus alecto (black flying fox). Lineage: Eukaryota; Metazoa; Chordata; Mammalia; Chiroptera; Pteropodidae. The record is from RNAcentral.
GUCUACAACCAUGCCACCUUGAACAAGCCCAAUCCCGUCUGAUCUCGGAAGCUAAGCAGGGGUCAGGCCUGGUUAGUAUUUGGAUGGGAGACCACCUAGGAAGACCAGGUGCUAUAGGCA